UACGUAGGGUGCAAGCGUUGUCCGGAAUUAUUGGGCGUAAAGAGCUCGUAGGCGGUCUGUCACGUCGGCUGUGAAAUCCCGAGGCUCAACCUCGGGUCUGCAGUCGAUACGGGCAAACUAGAGUAUUGCAGGGGAGACUGGAAUUCCUGGUGUAGCGGUGAAAAUGCGCAGAUAUCGGGAGGAACACCAAUGGCGAAGGCGGUUCUCUGGGCCUUACCUGACGCUGAGGAGCGAAAGCGUGGGGAGCAAACAGG
RNAcentral lists this ribosomal RNA (254 nucleotides) under uncultured bacterium. RNAcentral describes it as "partial 16S ribosomal RNA". It matches the Rfam family "Bacterial small subunit ribosomal RNA", at positions 524 to 776 of the family's 1533-position model. The record is from RNAcentral.